Mus pahari (shrew mouse) is the source of this 1798-nucleotide long non-coding RNA. RefSeq lists it as uncharacterized. NCBI's taxonomy places the organism in Eukaryota, Metazoa, Chordata, Mammalia, Rodentia, Muridae. The transcript is spliced from 3 exons. The record is from RefSeq and is a predicted model, not a curated record.
AAUCUUGCUGUCUUGCAUAAGUGCCUGGAAAAACAGAGUAUCUUAUUAUUAUUCAUGCAUUAUCACCAGUGCCCCUGUCUAUAGUAGGGACCCUUAGAGUACACAUGCCAUUUGUCAUUUGGAAUCCCAAACUGACCAUUGCCAUUGGCCCUAGGACAGUUUCAUUGGAAGGACUUCAACUAUAAAGGCAAGCAAUUAUUUGACAUUGAUUAUUUUAUAGACAGGUAAGCUGAUAUGGGGAAGGUCAAAUGACCUUUUCAUGUUUAGGUAACUUUGCUACCUAUUAGGGGUAGAACACAGCUGCUCUCUAGUUUUAAGGAUAACAUGUCUAUGUAACGUCAAUCUAGAAAUAGAAUGAUUCUUUCAAAACUCAACCUUCCAAAGAUGAGAAAUCCAUUUCCUGUCUAAUCUCACUUGGUUUCCUCAUUGUGGUUUGUAACAUUUAGUUAACAAACCAUUUUUAAAGUUUUUUUCUCAGUUUAUAGUUAGUUUUCUCAAAUUGAUUUUAAACUUUUCAGAGUUGUGAUUCUCAUCUAUCUUUGUAAGUAUGAGAUCAAAGACACUACUGUAAUAGCUGUAAGAGGAGUCAGCGUAGUGAUAGACAUUUCUAAUCAAGAGCCCAGGAGGCUAAAGCAAUAAGAUCACAUGUUGGUAGGUGGCCUGCACCAGGUGGAGAGGACUUUCUUCCAAAAGCAUAUUUACAUGUUGUAAGUAUGUAUAAAAGAUUUAAGAAUUUUCUUUCCAACCUGCAUUAGAUUUCUAGAUUUCUGUUAUUGUUGUUAAUAUAGAUGGUUUGUCUUGUAGAAAAUAACAUAACUUCAUGACCAGAAUUUAAACAAGUAAUCUUUCUGGCUUCAGUUUUCUCAUUAUAACAUGUGGAUGGCACUGUGGGCCCCAUAAGGAGAGUAGCUAUAGGGGAGAGAACAUGCCUGCUGCAUGUGGCCUCCCCAGGAUCUUGAUUUCUACUUAUCUCCAGGUCACCUUUUUUUCCCCUUCUAAUACUUCCAACCCAUUUUUGGAACACAGAGACUUUUUCCAUUAAAUAAGCAUAUUUUAGAAGGACAAACAUCAAUGAAAACAGUGGAGUUAAAAAAAAAAAUGAGUUAAAAACCGAAAACCUCACAAAAUUUGAGUUAAAAAAAAAAGGAAAUAUCACAAAAUUUAGGAUUCUUAAGUAAGAUUGUAUACUUGUGUUUGUUCCUAAAAGAAAGAAGAUGCAAUUCAGAUCUUAAGGUUGGGGCUGGAGAGAUGGCUCAGCAGUUAAGAAUAACUGCUGCUUUCCCAGAGGACCAGAGUUCAGUUCUCGACACCCAUAUUGAGCAGCUUGUAACUUCUCAUAAUUCUAGAUCCAGUGGCUAAACCCUGGAGUAGCAUGCUUGAAUACUAGGGCUGAUUCUCAAACCCAGAAACUCAUACUCAUCCUCAACAACUAUAACAAACGGCACAGUGGAUUCCAGUUACAUUGGCUACAUGUAAAAGAGUAGCAAUAUUUAUGUUUUUAAAUAUAUUAGAUUUUUCAGGUAUGAAAAUGAAUAGCUUUUUGCAGGCAAAUAGACGAGUUUAUAAACAAUGGAUACAUGAAAUGCAGUGGCACCAAAAUCUGCAUGCAAUUUUUAUAGAUGCAGAAUGAAUGACUUUCAGAAUCAUAGGAAGCAACGGAUUACUGCAUGUAACCAAAAUAACCUUAGAAAAGAAUAAAGUUAGGUAUGUCAUUCUGAUAUUAAAGUGUAUGACAAAGCUGCAGUAGUUAAAACGGUAUGACAAUGGUGUAAAGACAAACAUAAAAUUCAACAGGACA